AUCUAGCGGACGAGUCCCGUAUAGGACGGAACGCGCUUCCUCGAU
RNAcentral lists this non-coding RNA (45 nucleotides) under Schistosoma mansoni. The record is from RNAcentral. Lineage: Eukaryota; Metazoa; Platyhelminthes; Trematoda; Strigeidida; Schistosomatidae.